RNAcentral lists this transfer-messenger RNA (373 nucleotides) under Planctomycetota. Its description in RNAcentral is "o MHYJ01 X1 Standard tmRNA". It matches the Rfam family "transfer-messenger RNA". From Rfam's summary of the family: Bacterial tmRNA, also known as 10Sa RNA or SsrA, is named for its dual tRNA and mRNA-like properties. Its role is to liberate the mRNA from a stalled ribosome. RNAcentral also lists the same sequence under 1 other name. Lineage: Bacteria; Pseudomonadati. The record is from RNAcentral.
GGGCCCGAUCGGUAUCGACCGGGUGAAACCGUGUGGGGGUGGCGCGCCGAGGACGCCCGUUGGCCUCGUAAAAAAUCGGGCAACACAACAAACGCUGCUCCGGCGUACAGCCUGGCUGCGUAAAGCGGCCACGUCCUUCCGGCCAUUGCCCGUGACUCCGUCCUGAAAGGGAGGAGGGCCGGACGGGGCGACCGACACGGGCUAGCGUCCCGGGACUCCGCCUGCUGUCCCGGGACCGAAGGAGCCGCGGGCUAGUUCCCGGACUGCCCGUCCGUCGGCGACCCCGGGGGCGAAUGCCAAAGGCGGACUACGCGCGUAGAGGCCUUCAUGCGGACGCCUUGGGACGGGGGUUCGAUUCCCCCCGGGUCCACCC